CACUGUUGUAUUUACAGAAGUUGUAUGAGAAUAAGCUACAGGUUGAUUUAUACUAAUCUGUUAUUUUUCUUUUUUAGCACGACUGACUGAAGUUUUAAAAUCAUGCAACGUCAUAAAGCAGCAGCUGGGCCUGAUUCUCACAAAACCAAAACAGACGUGAUGAAAUUCCAGAUGUAAACACAUUUGACCUUCCUUUGGCCAAUUUGAUUUGGAAAAGCUUGAAAAUCAACUGAAGGAGCAGCCUGAACAAAUGAAGAAACUGAUGGAGUGAGGACAAAUGUCCAUACCACACCACUGAUAAGGAAAUGGAAAAAUGCAUUACAAGGUAGCUACAACUUGCCCCUGACAGGGAUGGAGGAAGAAAGAAGAGAAAGCUAAUGUGUCAAAUGUCUACAUCACUAUUUUGUUUUAUUUUUUAAACAACAUUUUAAGUGUAUUAGGAUGUUCCCUGAUACUUGAACAAUUUGUUUCUUUCAUUUGCAUUUAUAUAUAUAUAUAUAUAUAUAUAUAUAUAUAUAUAUAUAUAUAUAUAUAUAUAUAUAUAUAUAUAUAUAUAUAUAUGUAUAUAUAUAUAUAUAUAUAUAUAUAUAUGUAUAUAUGUAUAUGUAUAUAUAUGUGUGUGUGUGUAUGUGUGUGUGUAUAUAUGUAUGGUAUGUAUGUAUGUAUGUAUGUGUGUGCGCCAAAUUCUGAAGAAACAUCUUGAUACAUUUUUAAUAAACGUAAUACAAAUAAAAUUAUAAAUAUAAAAUUGCACAAGACGUGUAUAUAUAUGAAAUGUAUAAUCAUCUCACUCAUGUCUUGCUGUGUGCAAUUGAUUUUGUUCAAGUUUAUUUAAAAAAAAGUUUGACUUUAAACUUAUGCAAUUAUAUUUAUAUAUAUAAAAUAUAUAUAUAUUUGUUUGUUUAUUAUUAUUUUAAUGUUUUAUUAAAAAUGUUUCAAGAUGUUUCUUCAGAAUUCUGCAGUACUUUUUACAAGUUUGACUUGGAUAUUUUACGGAUUGUCAUUGGUAUUUUUAAGAUGUUUCUUGCUAUAUCUUAAAUUGGUUUCUAUAUUUAGGUU
This is a non-coding RNA of Danio rerio (zebrafish), 1059 nucleotides long. The record is from Ensembl. Lineage: Eukaryota; Metazoa; Chordata; Actinopteri; Cypriniformes; Danionidae.